Molecule: ribosomal RNA, 303 nt
Filed under: uncultured bacterium
Lineage: Bacteria
Description: partial 16S ribosomal RNA
Rfam family: Bacterial small subunit ribosomal RNA
Source: RNAcentral
AGCAGCAGCCGCGGUAAUACGUAGGUGGCAAGCGUUGUCCGGAAUUAUUGGGCGUAAAGCGCGCGCAGGCGGAUAGGUCAGUCUGUCCUAAAAGUUCGGGGCUUAACCCCGUGAUGGGAUGGAAACUGCCGAUCUAGAGUAUCGGAGAGGAAAGUGGAAUUCCUAGUGUAGCGGUGAAAUGCGUAGAUAUUAGGAAGAACACCAGUGGCGAAGGCGACUUUCUGGACGAAAACUGACGCUGAGGCGCGAAAGCCAGGGGAGCGAACGGGAUUAGAUACCCCAGUAGUCCCUGUCUCUUAUACA